Molecule: ribosomal RNA, 252 nt
Filed under: uncultured bacterium
Lineage: Bacteria
Description: partial 16S ribosomal RNA
Rfam family: Bacterial small subunit ribosomal RNA
Source: RNAcentral
UACGGGGGGUGCGAGCGUUGUCCGGAAUCACUGGGCGUAAAGGGCGCGUAGGUGGUUUGAUAAGGGUGUGGUGAAAGCCCGGGGCUCAACCCCGGGUCUGCCGUGCCGACUGUCAAACUCGAGGGCUGUAGAGGCAGACGGAAUUCCGGGUGUAGCGGUGGAAUGCGUAGAGAUCCGGAGGAGAACCGUUGGCGAGGGCGUUUUGCUGGGCAUUUUCUGCCACGGAGGCGCGAAAGCUGGGGAGCAAACAGG